RNAcentral lists this unclassified non-coding RNA (924 nucleotides) under Zea mays. RNAcentral describes it as "misc RNA Zm00001eb032450". Lineage: Eukaryota; Viridiplantae; Streptophyta; Magnoliopsida; Poales; Poaceae. The record is from RNAcentral.
CUGCAUGACGGGAUCGCAAGCAACGCACAGGCGAUCUCUAACCUGUCGAGGGUUUUGGAGGAGGAGGACGACAACAAUUCGUUUGGCCCAGCACUGAAGGCAGCUGCCGUUGACAUCCUAGCAGAACUGGCGUUGCCUUCGUCAGACAGGUCUGCCGCCUCGAGGUCGAGGCUGCUGGGCAAGGCUGACAUCAUCAGGGGGCUGUGGUGCAUCUUCCUUGUUCAAGUGGAUGGUGGCGUUGACGGCAGCAACAUUCAGGGAGAUGAGGAACAGCGACAGCAGGAUAGCACACUGAGGAAGAAAGCUAGGGAAGCACUGGCACAUGCUGCCUGCAGAACUGCGUCAUGGAAGGACGAUGCGAUUGAGAUGCUGACAAAGGUUCUUCAUCUGAUUCUACUGGUCCCAAGCGAAUCAAACAAGCUGGAAACGGAUGUAAAAGGCGACGAGGAGCAGCAAGAAGAAGAAGAGGAAUUCCUGGUGGCCCUGCUAUCACUUGCCGUGGUCAUAUGUGACGGCAUGGUCGAUGAACAUGGCUUCACCUGUGCUGCCCCUAAAGACAUGGUGUCUCUGGUGAGAAAGCUCAAGGACAUAAUACUACAGGCUAACAACAACAACAACAACAACACGUUCCAAUGCCUGCGGACAGUGAAGCUUACCUGCCAGCUGGUUGUUUCAAUGGCACAGCUCAAGCCCAUGUGCAUCAAAGACUUCACGGAGCACGAUUUCAUGGACGUGCUAUCUGAAUCGUCUUUCAAGACAUUGUCAGAUCUCGAUAACUGCCUCGUGUUAUUUGAGGCCGAUGAUCGUUAUCAGUAUCAGGUGACGAAGACUGCAGAUGAGCCACUGGUUUCGCUUGUGAAGAAAGCUCAACAACUCUUCCACAAAAGCAACGACAAGAACCUGGUUGGUAAUGUGCUUGCCUAG